Molecule: ribosomal RNA, 1538 nt
Filed under: Klebsiella pneumoniae
Lineage: Bacteria; Pseudomonadati; Pseudomonadota; Gammaproteobacteria; Enterobacterales; Enterobacteriaceae
Description: bacterial SSU rRNA
Rfam family: Bacterial small subunit ribosomal RNA
Source: RNAcentral
AAAUUGAAGAGUUUGAUCAUGGCUCAGAUUGAACGCUGGCGGCAGGCCUAACACAUGCAAGUCGAGCGGUAGCACAGAGAGCUUGCUCUCGGGUGACGAGCGGCGGACGGGUGAGUAAUGUCUGGGAAACUGCCUGAUGGAGGGGGAUAACUACUGGAAACGGUAGCUAAUACCGCAUAAUGUCGCAAGACCAAAGUGGGGGACCUUCGGGCCUCAUGCCAUCAGAUGUGCCCAGAUGGGAUUAGCUAGUAGGUGGGGUAACGGCUCACCUAGGCGACGAUCCCUAGCUGGUCUGAGAGGAUGACCAGCCACACUGGAACUGAGACACGGUCCAGACUCCUACGGGAGGCAGCAGUGGGGAAUAUUGCACAAUGGGCGCAAGCCUGAUGCAGCCAUGCCGCGUGUGUGAAGAAGGCCUUCGGGUUGUAAAGCACUUUCAGCGGGGAGGAAGGCGUUAAGGUUAAUAACCUUGGCGAUUGACGUUACCCGCAGAAGAAGCACCGGCUAACUCCGUGCCAGCAGCCGCGGUAAUACGGAGGGUGCAAGCGUUAAUCGGAAUUACUGGGCGUAAAGCGCACGCAGGCGGUCUGUCAAGUCGGAUGUGAAAUCCCCGGGCUCAACCUGGGAACUGCAUUCGAAACUGGCAGGCUAGAGUCUUGUAGAGGGGGUAGAAUUCCAGGUGUAGCGGUGAAAUGCGUAGAGAUCUGGAGGAAUACCGGUGGCGAAGGCGGCCCCUGGACAAAGACUGACGCUCAGGUGCGAAAGCGUGGGGAGCAAACAGGAUUAGAUACCCUGGUAGUCCACGCCGUAAACGAUGUCGAUUUGGAGGUUGUGCCCUUGAGGCGUGGCUUCCGGAGCUAACGCGUUAAAUCGACCGCCUGGGGAGUACGGCCGCAAGGUUAAAACUCAAAUGAAUUGACGGGGGCCCGCACAAGCGGUGGAGCAUGUGGUUUAAUUCGAUGCAACGCGAAGAACCUUACCUGGUCUUGACAUCCACAGAACUUUCCAGAGAUGGAUUGGUGCCUUCGGGAACUGUGAGACAGGUGCUGCAUGGCUGUCGUCAGCUCGUGUUGUGAAAUGUUGGGUUAAGUCCCGCAACGAGCGCAACCCUUAUCCUUUGUUGCCAGCGGUUCGGCCGGGAACUCAAAGGAGACUGCCAGUGAUAAACUGGAGGAAGGUGGGGAUGACGUCAAGUCAUCAUGGCCCUUACGACCAGGGCUACACACGUGCUACAAUGGCAUAUACAAAGAGAAGCGACCUCGCGAGAGCAAGCGGACCUCAUAAAGUAUGUCGUAGUCCGGAUUGGAGUCUGCAACUCGACUCCAUGAAGUCGGAAUCGCUAGUAAUCGUAGAUCAGAAUGCUACGGUGAAUACGUUCCCGGGCCUUGUACACACCGCCCGUCACACCAUGGGAGUGGGUUGCAAAAGAAGUAGGUAGCUUAACCUUCGGGAGGGCGCUUACCACUUUGUGAUUCAUGACUGGGGUGAAGUCGUAACAAGGUAACCGUAGGGGAACCUGCGGUUGGAUCACCUCCUUA